Molecule: ribosomal RNA, 506 nt
Filed under: uncultured bacterium
Lineage: Bacteria
Description: partial 16S ribosomal RNA
Rfam family: Bacterial small subunit ribosomal RNA
Source: RNAcentral
AUUGAACGCUAACGGCGUGCUUAACACAUGCAAGUCGAGCGGCAGCACAGUAGUAGCAAUACUAUGGGUGGCGAGCGGCGGACGGGUGAGUAAUGCAUAGGAAUCUGCCUUGUAGUGGGGGAUAACCCGGGGAAACUCGGGCUAAUACCGCAUAAUCUCUACGGAGCAAAGUGGGGGACCGUAAGGCCUCACGCUAAAAGAUGAGCCUAUGUUGGAUUAGCUAGUUGGUAGGGUAAAGGCCUACCAAGGCAACGAUCCAUAGCUGGUCUGAGAGGAUGAUCAGCCACACUGGGACUGAGACACGGCCCAGACUCCUACGGGAGGCAGCAGUGGGGAAUAUUGGACAAUGGGCGAAAGCCUGAUCCAGCAACGCCGUGUGUGUGAAGAAGGCCUUCGGGUUGUAAAGCACUUUUAGUUGGGAAGAAAAGCUCAAGACUAAUACCCUUGAGUGAUGACGUUACCAACAGAAAAAGCACUGGCUAACUCUGUGCCAGCAGCCGCAGUAA